This 330-nucleotide ribosomal RNA is filed under the name uncultured bacterium. RNAcentral describes it as "bacterial SSU rRNA". It matches the Rfam family "Bacterial small subunit ribosomal RNA", at positions 568 to 898 of the family's 1533-position model. The record is from RNAcentral.
UGCGUAGGCGGUUAACUAAGUCACGUGUGAAAUCUUCUGGCUCAACCAGAAAACUGCGCGUGAAACUAAUUGACUUGAGUGAGGUAGGGGUGUGUGGAACUUCCGGUGGAGCGGUGAAAUGUGUAGAGAUCGGAAGGAACGCCAGCAGCGAAAGCGGCACACUGGGCCUUUUCUGACGCUGAGGCACGAAAGCUAGGGGAGUGAACGGGAUUAGAUACCCCGGUAAUCCUAGCCGUAAACACUGAACACUGGAGGACGGGGGCUUCGGCCUUCGUUCUCGUAGCGAAAGCGUUAAGUGUUCCGCCUGGGGAGUAUGGUCGCAAGGCUGAA